CGGGUGAGUAACACGUGGAUAACCUACCUAUAAGACUGGGAUAACUUCGGGAAACCGGAGCUAAUACCGGAUGAUAUUUUGAACCGCAUGGUUCAAAAGUGAAAGACGGUCUUGCUGUCACUUAUAGAUGGAUCCGCGCUGCAUUAGCUAGUUGGUAAGGUAACGGCUUACCAAGGCAACGAUGCAUAGCCGACCUGAGAGGGUGAUCGGCCACACUGGAACUGAGACACGGUCAAG
Molecule: ribosomal RNA, 237 nt
Filed under: uncultured Staphylococcus sp.
Lineage: Bacteria; Bacillati; Bacillota; Bacilli; Caryophanales; Staphylococcaceae
Description: partial 16S ribosomal RNA
Rfam family: Bacterial small subunit ribosomal RNA
Source: RNAcentral